GGGGUAAAAUUAAUAAAAUAUAAAUAAUAAAAAAAUUUUUAAUAUUGGGGGGUAUUAAAGUAUUUUUUUAAAAAAAAAUAAUUAAUUUUAUAGUAAAUUAGUAUUGAAAAAGAAAUUUGAAAUAUAUGAAAAUAAAUUAUUUAAAAAGUAAUUUUUAUUUAAUGUAUCUUGUGUAUCAGAGUUUAUUAAAAAAUAUAUUUUUUAAUAAAUAAUCUCGAAUUUAAAAGAGUUAAUUAAUUAUAAAAGUUAAUGUAGAAAAAUUAUUUUAAAUAAUUAAUUUGAAAUGAAAUGUUAAUCGUUUUUAAAUAUAUCUAGUUAUUUUAGAAAAAAAUUUAAUUUUAAAUUUAAAAAAUUUUAUUUAUAAUUAUAAUUAUAAAUAAAAUUUUAAAAUUAAAUAUAUUAAGGGAUAAUCUUUAAUAUAAAAAUUUAUAAUAAAUUAAAGUUAAAAUAAAAAUUUUAAAAUUUAUAUUGUUUAAAAAUUAUAAUUUAUUAUAAAAAAUUUUAUUUAUAAUAAAAUUUAAUUAAAAAUUUAAUUUUUUAUAAAAUGAUAAUAAAAAUAAAAAAAAAAUUAAAAAUAAUGAUAAAAUUAGUAUAUUAUUAUUAAAAAUAUAAUUUAAUUGAUUAAAAUUAAAUUAAAGGAAUUCGGCAAAAUUUUAUAUUCACUUGUUUAUCAAAAACAUGUCUUUUAGUUAAUAAUUUAAAGUCUAAUCUGCCCACUGAUAAUAUAUUAAAGGGCUGCAGUAUAUUGACUGUACAAAGGUAGCAUAAUCAAUAGUCUUUUAAUUGAAGACUUGUAUGAAAGAUUUGAUGAAAUAUAAACUGUCUCUAAUUUAUUAAUAAAAUUUAAUUUUUUAGUUAAAAAGCUAAAAUAAAUUUAAAAGACGAGAAGACCCUAUAGAGUUUUAUAUUAAAUAAAUUUAAUAUUAUUUAUAUAAAUAAAAAUUAAGAAUAAAUUUAAUAUUUUAUUGGGGUGAUUGAAAAAUUAAUAUAACUUUUUUUUAAAAAAAUACAUAAAUAAUUGAAUAAUUGAUCCAUAUUUUAUGAUUAAAAGAAAAAAUUACCUUAGGGAUAACAGCGUAAUAUUUUUUUUUAGUACAAAUAAAAAAAAAAGUUUGCGACCUCGAUGUUGGAUUAAGAUAAAAUUUAAAUGCAAAAGUUUAAAAUUUUGAUCUGUUCGAUCAUUAAAAUCUUACAUGAUCUGAGCUCAAACCGGUGUAAGCCAGGUUGGUUUCUAUCUUUAGAAAAAAAAAAUGUUUUAGUACGAAAGGAUCAAAUAUUUUUAAUAAUUAAAAUUUAAUGAAUAUUAAUAAUUAUUAAUUAUA
RNAcentral lists this ribosomal RNA (1322 nucleotides) under Parasarpa dudu (white commodore). Its description in RNAcentral is "16S ribosomal RNA". The record is from RNAcentral. Lineage: Eukaryota; Metazoa; Arthropoda; Insecta; Lepidoptera; Nymphalidae.